This 253-nucleotide ribosomal RNA is filed under the name uncultured bacterium. RNAcentral's name for it is "partial 16S ribosomal RNA". It matches the Rfam family "Bacterial small subunit ribosomal RNA", at positions 524 to 776 of the family's 1533-position model. The record is from RNAcentral.
UACGGGGGGGGCAAGCGUUGUUCGGAAUUACUGGGCGUAAAGCGUGCGUAGGCGGCUAUGUAAGACAGAUGUGAAAUCCCUGGGCUUAACCUAGGAACUGCAUUUGUGACUGCAUUGCUAGAGUGUGGUAGAGGGAGAUGGAAUUCCGCAUGUAGCAGUGAAAUGCGUAGAUAUGCGGAGGAACACCAAUGGCGAAGGCAAUCUCCUGGACCUGCACUGACGCUCAUGCACGAAAGCGUGGGGAGCAAACAGG